UUUUGACAUAAAACUCAUUUUUACAAAAAAUGCAGUUGUGACGUUAUUUCUCCGGAUGUGCGAAUAUGUAAUUUCAAAAUAAGUAUUCCCGGGGAAUUCCCGACAAACAGAGACAGACCCUUUUUAAAUGAGACCAUAAAAUAGUUCUGGUGUUGGCGCGAGACGGUCAGACCACAUCGACGACAUUCUGUUCGCCGAGUGGCGGCGCUGCGAGCCCGAGUGGACCUCGCUGCACACCGACGAAGUCAUCGUCAAGAACCAACUCUUCGAGAGCAUCUUCCAGAAAAUCCUCACCGAAACCAUAGACGAAUACAAGAAAACAGUCCUCGCCAACAAAAACCCCCUACAAGUCAAUGUCACACUCUAAGCGUGCAAUAUAAUGUUAUAGCUCUAGCGUAAUUCUUCAGUUAAAUGUAAUCCACGUUAUAUUCCACGUUGAAUGUUCGUUGUUCUAGUAGAAAUGUGUAUUCAAACGUCGAACAAUUGUUUGUUAAAUUAUUUAUUUUAGCGAUAAUAUUGGAGAAUAUCACAUAGUGCUUACAAUUUAUACUCGCUAAAUCUAUAAAUAUAAGCAUGGUAAUAUUGUAUUACAGUAAUAGUUGCAUGUUGCUAAAAUAUUAUAUAAUGUUUUUAGUGUAAUUGAUAUCGCUUUUGAUGUAUAGUCAUUAUUAUAUUGAUGAAAUUGUGUAUGUUGAUACGUUAUGUAUAAAUUUUGUUUUGUUAAAACUCGUUCUCUUGUUCAAUAUUACAGUAUAUUGUGAUUAUAGAUUUUCUUGUGGGCAUUUAUAUAGUUAUACCACGUUGUUAUACAUAUUUUGUUUUCUUAUAUACUAUAUCUACUUACAAAAGCGAAGACAUGUAAGUAUUAAAACUAAUUACAAACAAUUUUUAAACAAUAGUAACGAGACUAGUAAAAGCCUACAAUUAUCUACAAUAAAUUAUUUUUCCGAACUUGUAAAAUACUUCCUAGGAUCAGUCGCCGAGUUUUGUAGAACAAAAUUUAGUUAUAGUUCCUUAUUUUAUACAAAUAAAGGCCAUUUUAACACUA
Colias croceus (clouded yellow) is the source of this 1048-nucleotide long non-coding RNA. RefSeq lists it as uncharacterized. The record is from RefSeq and is a predicted model, not a curated record. The transcript has 2 exons. NCBI's taxonomy places the organism in Eukaryota, Metazoa, Arthropoda, Insecta, Lepidoptera, Pieridae.